Molecule: ribosomal RNA, 584 nt
Filed under: uncultured bacterium
Lineage: Bacteria
Description: bacterial SSU rRNA
Rfam family: Bacterial small subunit ribosomal RNA
Source: RNAcentral
GGCCUAACACAUGCAAGUCGAACGGUAGCACAGAGAGCUUGCUCUCUGGUGACGAGUGGCGGACGGGUGAGUAAUGUCUGGGAAACUGCCCGAUGGAGGGGGAUAACUACUGGAAACGGUAGCUAAUACCGCAUAACGUCUUCGGACCAAAGUGGGGGACCUUCGGGCCUCACACCAUCGGAUGUGCCCAGAUGGGAUUAGCUAGUAGGUGGGGUAAUGGCUCACCUAGGCGACGAUCCCUAGCUGGUCUGAGAGGAUGACCAGCCACACUGGAACUGAGACACGGUCCAGACUCCUACGGGAGGCAGCAGUGGGGAAUAUUGCACAAUGGGCGCAAGCCUGAUGCAGCCAUGCCGCGUGUAUGAAGAAGGCCUUCGGGUUGUAAAGUACUUUCAGCGGGGAGGAAGGCGAUGUGGUUAAUAACCGCAUCGAUUGACGUUACCCGCAGAAGAAGCACCGGCUAACUCCGUGCCAGCAGCCGCGGUAAUACGGAGGGUGCAAGCGUUAAUCGGAAUUACUGGGCGUAAAAGCGCACGCAGGCGGUCUGUCAAGUCGGAUGUGAAAUCCCCGGGUNUUAACCUGGG